This 488-nucleotide ribosomal RNA is filed under the name uncultured bacterium. RNAcentral describes it as "partial 16S ribosomal RNA". It matches the Rfam family "Bacterial small subunit ribosomal RNA", at positions 899 to 1397 of the family's 1533-position model. The record is from RNAcentral.
ACUCAAAGGAAUAGACGGGGGCCCGCACAAGCAGCGGAGCGUGUGGUUUAAUUCGAUGCAACGCGAAGAACCUUACCUGGGCUUGACAUGGGGUCGCACCAGGCGUAAUGGCCUGUCCCCUUCGGGGGCGGCUCCACAGGUGCUGCAUGGCUGUCGUCAGCUCGUGCCGUGAGGUGUUGGGUUAAGUCCCCUAACGAGCGCAACCCCCGGGGUCCGUUAUCUGUGGUGUCGGGCCCGACUGCCGCGCGCAACGCGGAGGAAGGUGGGGAUGAUGUCAAGUCAGCACGGCCCUGACGUCCAGGGCUACACACACGCUACAAUGGCCGGUACAACGGGUUGCCAAGCCGCGAGGCGGAGCCAAUCCCAGCAAAGCCGGUCUCAGUUCGGAUUGCAGGCUGCAACUCGCCUGCAUGAAGUCGGAGUUGCUAGUAACCGUGGGUCAGCACACCGCGGUGAAUACGUUCCCGGGCCUUGCACACACCGCCCGU